GCGCCCGUAGUCUAGGGGUAGGAUGCGGGCCCCCCAAGCCCGUGACCCGGGUUCGAAUCCCGGCGGGCGCA
Molecule: transfer RNA, 71 nt
Filed under: Nanoarchaeum equitans Kin4-M
Lineage: Archaea; Nanobdellati; Nanobdellota; Candidatus Nanoarchaeia; Nanoarchaeales; Nanoarchaeaceae
Description: tRNA-Gly (CCC) (tRNA-Gly-CCC-1-1)
Rfam family: tRNA
About the family: Transfer RNA (tRNA) molecules are approximately 80 nucleotides in length. Their secondary structure includes four short double-helical elements and three loops (D, anti-codon, and T loops).
Source: Rfam by way of RNAcentral